AAGGGUCAUAUGAUGAUCAUAUGAUUAUAUUUAGUUUUAGUCUUUCGCUCCUAUCUGAUGACCCUU
Molecule: small nucleolar RNA, 66 nt
Filed under: Phaseolus vulgaris (common bean)
Lineage: Eukaryota; Viridiplantae; Streptophyta; Magnoliopsida; Fabales; Fabaceae
Description: Small nucleolar RNA snR60/Z15/Z230/Z193/J17
Rfam family: Small nucleolar RNA snR60/Z15/Z230/Z193/J17
About the family: The members of this family belong to the C/D class of snoRNAs which contain the C (UGAUGA) and D (CUGA) box motifs. Most of the members of the box C/D family function in directing site-specific 2'-O-methylation of substrate RNAs. The family includes the yeast snoRNA snR60 (also known as Z15) and the corresponding human guide snoRNA U80 (SNORD80).
Source: Rfam by way of RNAcentral